UCACUGGGCUCCAUCGUGUCAACGCAAACGCGACCGGAUACACUCAUUACCAUGGGAACGACAACAAUAAUGGAUCGCGCUGUGUGUUUGUAAGAACAAAAUGGGGAAAAACGUGUGUUGGUGGUCACCGGUGCUCAGGACAGGAGAGGACGUUCGUUUAAGGCUUGAUUGAGGGUCUUCAAUCAACCUGCCACGCAUGUUUUUGGGAUGUGGGAGGAAACCGGAGAGCCCGGAGAAAACCCACGCAGGCACGGGGAGAACAUGCAAACUCCACUCAGGCGGUGCCGGGAUUUGAACCCCGGUCUUCAGAACUGUGAGGCAGAUGCUCUAACCAGUCGCCCACCGAUCCACUUCACUUUAAAUAUGAUCAUAAAUCUUUCGGUGAAGGAAAGCCUGCUGUUCAGGAUCGUGAUCUGAAAAGAGACUGCAUCCCAUGGGAACGUGUGGAUCUUUUGUAAAGAUUGAAACAUUGCUUUUCAAAGAGCAAUCUCACAGCUGUGCUGUGGCUUGAAAUCAGCCUUCUGAAGCCAUAACAGACAAGGUAAUCCUAUUCACUAGCCAUCUAGCUACUCUGUUCCUUUGGGCUUUUACCCAUCCAGCUCAAGAUUGUCUUAGAUUUAAUAGGAGCGACAGCAUUCAUGACAUUUGAGACUUUACAGGUGAAAUUAUCCAACAGUUCAUCAACUGUCUCAGCAGUCACAGUUUGUGGCACAGCAAUGGUCUCCCUAAACUUAGUGGCGGUACUCUCAUUUAUGUACCUUUUCUUAAUAGACAUAGAGGUCGUCAGAACUUUUGGAAGAAUCUGCAACAAAAUUUAACAGGUCCAUGCUCAGUUUCAUGGGAAUAAAUAUGAAG
Long non-coding RNA from Phyllopteryx taeniolatus (common seadragon), 855 nucleotides. RefSeq lists it as uncharacterized. The record is from RefSeq and is a predicted model, not a curated record. NCBI's taxonomy places the organism in Eukaryota, Metazoa, Chordata, Actinopteri, Syngnathiformes, Syngnathidae. The transcript has 3 exons.